This 253-nucleotide ribosomal RNA is filed under the name uncultured bacterium. RNAcentral's name for it is "partial 16S ribosomal RNA". It matches the Rfam family "Bacterial small subunit ribosomal RNA", at positions 524 to 776 of the family's 1533-position model. The record is from RNAcentral.
CACGUAGGGGACGAGCGUUGUCCGGAUUCAUUGGGCGUAAAGCGCGCGUAGGCGGCUUUGCAAGUCGGGUGUGAAAUCCCCAGGCUUAACCUGGGAACUGCAUUCGAGACUGCAUUGCUAGAGUAUGGGAGAGGGAAGUGGAAUUUCCGGUGUAGCGGUGAAAUGCGUAGAUAUCGGAAGGAACAUCAGUGGCGAAAGCGACUUCCUGGACCAAUACUGACACUCAACUACGAAAGCGUGGGGAGCAAACAGG